Molecule: non-coding RNA, 5020 nt
Organism: Xyrichtys novacula (pearly razorfish)
Lineage: Eukaryota; Metazoa; Chordata; Actinopteri; Labriformes; Labridae
Source: the annotation of a GenBank genome assembly
CGACAGAUGCUGACCCGCAGAAGUGUGAAUCUUGCCGAUUUCUCCCUGCUGUCAACCUGUAAAUUACAGCUAUCGGGAGUAAUUAGACCCGAUAAAACCCUUCCAAGCCUCACCCCCCUUGACACACAUGCAGACACACACACAGAUCUGGCCUGUCAGUGACCUGAGCAUGCGCCAGUUUCUAAAAGAAGGUUUAAGGCCCAAAAUUGUCCUGUUCAAACCAGGUGUUUAAUGUGUUUCUCUUCACAGAAAAAUAUUCUGCUCUUUCAUCCCGUAAAAUAUCGCUCAUCUUUGCUGGUUUAAGCAUUUCAUCUCUCUUUUAGGUCAAAGUCUGACAUCCAAACACUUCAUGACUUUGAGGACUCUGAGAUCGAUGCUGGCAGCUCCUCUAAAGUUGCAGAGGUGAGUCGGUCCACAGUAAACUAUCUUGGAUGAAUCUGCAGACGCUGCCAGUCGUCCUCUACUUAUCCUCACUGAGGUUUUGCAGUGACAGCGGAGAGCUGUCGCUGUGACCAGAGAUGUCAGCAUCUGGGGCCACCUCUUCAUGCCCUGGCAUCCGUGUUCGGCCUACAACCACCACAGUGAUGGCCACUGCCAAGCAUGCUCUUAAAAGCAAGGCCCGUGCCCCUUUAAGUAACUUACGCGAAACCAAAGGUCACGCAGCCAGGUCUUGUCAUCCUCUCCCUGACUCUCUGCCCUCCGCCUCCACCUCCUUCCCCAGCCCUCAGUGCCCACUUCCUGGCCAUUGGAGCCAAUCACUUUCCACCCCUUGCCUCCUUCGCCGCCAAUGCCGAGCGGCAAUCUGUCACCCGGGCACUAGGAGAUGCCACCCUGCCGGCCGCCUUCCGUACACUGUGGUAAUGGCUUCUGGCAGCCCUAGACAGAUAAGUAACAGGCAAAAAGGCAGGAGAGCGGGUCGAGUAGAGAGGGAGGGCUGAGGGCCAGAGAGCAGAGGACCCUCUCUCACAUCCAAGCUGCCCCCUUCUCGCCGCUGCUCGACCCUCCUCUACCCCUUUUGCCUCACCCCGCUUUGGCCUGGUCGCUUUGCACGAUACUUCAGUGAAUAAAUGAGUCGUUUUAAUCCGACUGACAAGCUGGCAUUGCCCAGCCCUGCCCUCCAUCUGUACUGGCGGCCAGCGCAGCAGCAGGCCCCAGGCAGCCCGAUGUGCCAAUCCAACACACAGCUUAUCCUGGCUGUAGCUUCAGGGACAGAAGGGUUAGAGCUCUAUGCGGCAGCUACCCUCUCCACCAAAAGAGCUAUUUAUAUAAGAAAGGGAUUAGCCGGUGGAGGCUUUGAUGAAGCGGAAAAAAAUUAUGAUUUUGCUUCCAUCUUGCUCCAGUGCACUUUUGAGAUGCACGUAUAUUCAAACAGGAAGUUCACUUUACUUUUGCUUUUCCAAACCUUCAAAUGAUCAUGGGGGGUGUCAUUUUUCACUCCAAUUCAAAGCUAGGGUUCAUUUUUAAGAGAUGAGAUUUUUUUAUGAGAUGGCGUUUGCUCCAUGGUUGCUCUGCCACUGCAACAGAUGAAUGUGUUCACUCUGCCAUAAACACAAAAGUGAAAGUGAAACUAGCCUCUUUCCAUCUGUCCCCACCACCGAGGGGUUAAUUUUGCUCUGUCAUCUUUGGAACAGCGAGAAGCCAAGUGCACUAUCACUCACACAGUCCGCCGUCCUGACCGAAUAAACCCAGAGGGAGAGAAAAAACUUGGCCGCAGGAGGUGCUAAACCCUCUGCUCCAUUUCCUCUCUCCACAAGCCUUCUCUCCGCUCCCUCUCUUGGCCAUGUGUCACCUCCAAGUCGUUUGGGAAGGGACCUGGUAACAUUUGAGUGCCCAAUUAAGCGCAGGGGCUCAGUCCGGGCCCCCCUCUGGGUUCCGUUCAGGCACGUCACUGAUGAGCGGGCUGCCAUCUUCCCUGUGAACCACACACACACUCACACAUAUGCACGAUUCUCCCACCCGCUUAUUCCUUUUCAUGCCUACUUCCCCCGUCUGUUGUGCCUCUUUUUCGCACAAACACUUUCUCCUCUCUGCUUAAAGAUCCCCUGCAGAUCUGAUUGCAGCUUACCUUUGGAACAGGAGGUUAUAACUGUUUGAUCCAUGGCCGCCAGACCCUUUGCCAGUCAUACACCCGGGCCUGGAUGCUGCUUAUUAACGGGAGGGGUCCUCCCACUGUGCUGCUGAGAAUCCGAGGGAUGGGUGUUUUGCUGCUUUGGUGAAAGAUUAAGCACUGUUUUCUUAAAUUAGCCUGGAAAACAUGAAGCAUAAACAUAAAAGGAAAUAUUCCUUAUCUGCAAGGUCAACUAUGCGCUCAUUAUCACCCAGAUUGAAUAAUUACUGAACUUAAGAAGUGCGAAAAAAAAAUAAAACAACUCUGAGUUAGCGCAGUGGAGCCUUUUGAAGUGUUAAAGGAGUGCUUAUUCCCUUAACUGGAGUGAAAGAGCAAUGCUGGAUAAUUUAGGUUACGGGCUCGGCAGUGACAGCUGGGCAGCAUUGAACGCCAACCAAAUCGACAUAAAUCACUGACUUUUUUUUCAAUAAGUAGGUUAAUAUCUCAGAAUUGUGUUUAAUGUUUUAUGCAGCAGAAAGGCAGGGACAGUGUUAAGGGACGGCAAGUGAUUCUGAAUGCAGCCGGGAGGUGGAGGGCUGGGCAGGGUUUGGCAUCUCCCGACAGUCUCUUCCGAGCACGCCGGCCCUUUAAAGGAGCGCGGAAACAAUCGACGCCCCUCUCGAGUCCUCUUCAUAUUAAACAAGUGCUUUGUAAGUGUGCCAUCAUUACUAUUCAUCACCAAUAAAUACUUAAGCACUGAGAGCUUAGUACCCCGCUGCUUUACAGUUAUUCAUUAUUUCUGUCACCUGCUUGUCCUUUUUCUGUCUCCUCCCCUCGCCGCAGCUCAUGACUGAAUGUUCCGGUGCCCUUCAACUCAGUAGUGUGCUGGGAGUGAGCUGGUGGCUAGUGCCUGUGUGCCAAGCCUCCUGCUUUGUGUCCCAUAUUCUCUGCCCUCACCUGAGGCCUUGUAACAACAGGACAGCAGGGCCAGAGGCUUUACCGUGCUCUGUGAACUUCUCAAGAUGAUGCCCUUCUACAGUUUUCAAAAUGUCCCAUGUCCACAACCUUCUUUCUUCUUUUUAUUACAUGAACACAACUGCACAAUCACCCCCAAGUUCAAACACACUAAGUACUCUCCUGCCCCAGACACUGGGGCAGAAGUCCACUGCACCCGUCCUCUACGGCUAGUUUUUGGAAGGUGAUUCGAUCCUUUUUCCUCUGCCACAGUGCUUGGCGGGCUGGCUGGCUCCAAUGCAACGCGGCGUGCGCUGGCGUUGGACUGAGGCCGGGCCAGUGUGCUCGGGAGCUGAUGAAUUGUGAGCGAGAUGCGGGGCGGCAGCCAGCGAGGAGCUCCGAUGAGCGGCCGUCACGCACUAUCACCGUCUGCUGGUGUGAUGAGGGAAAUCGGAGAGACAGCGCUGACAACUUAAUUUAACACCAGAUCUGGAGGAAGCCAGAGUGCUACAGCGCUCUGGAUAAUUGAUAACUCUGCCACUCCACCACACCUUGCCUCACCUCGUGCCCACCACGCCUCAGCUCUGCAUCAACCUGAACCAGUGGUGGACGCUUUACUGUACAGGUCUUAAGGCUUGUCAGGUUGUUUUGCUCUGGUUAAAUGGCUUUUAACUCCAAGUGUGAAACUGAAAACUAAAUCUCAAGUGGGGUGUUAAUUUGUUUUCUGUCUCUGAUACAACUUUAAAAUGGUUCAUCUAUUUUUGAUGCUGGGACAAUACUAGUGCAUUUCAGUACAAAAAUGUGUGUAAAUUCUUUUAUACACAACCUCUUUUCUUUAAACAAAAACAUAGACAAAUCUAACCCAUCUAAAAUUGUGCAAAUAAUGAUUUAAACCACGGUAAAGGUGAUCAAAAUUAAGUAUGUGAUAAUUUUGUUGUUAGAGUAAAUAGGUUAAGUCCUGAAAAGGUAAAGAGGAGAUAAAGAGGUCCCAACUUUCUCUCCUUUUAUAAGCUUCUUAUUGCAUCCAGAAGAAUGACACAGAGCGGCUGCAAUGCUGAAAUUUCUCCUUGGGCCUCGAUGCUGCAGCACGGCGCUGCAGGGGGACAGCGCUGCCUGGAUCUCCUUCACAGGCUGCUGGAGGCUGCAGAGCACAAGCCCGGUUGACUGGUAAUGCCUAUUAAUUACUAAUACAAACUGCUAAUUAGUAGACCAAACACUGGCAUCUGUACAGUUUGUUUUCCCUGCAGCGAUGAUAUUGAGAUCUAACACAAAGAGGCAGUGAAACCUGAGCGACAUGAUGCACACCAGAAUCAAAGGGGACUCGCUGAUGAGCAUGCUUUAAGCCAGGAUCAGGAACCAGAAAGGUCGAGCCAAAUUUCAGAGCCAUGUGACUUGACCGUUACUUUUGUACAGCUUUGGUAUUCAGGUUUUAUUUUGCAGAUCCAAGUUUGACAAACAAAUGGAAACAGUUGGAAUAAAUGUAUUUUAAAAUAUUGCAACCUUCCUUAAUUUUAAAUUCCGUAUGCAAAUGUCAAAUUUCAGUGUCCAAAAAAGAGCGUCCAAACACUCCUUCACUUGCUGGUAAAUAUUCGCUCGACUUGGUUCUUUUUGCUGGUUUGCUUGUAAAUUAAAGCCAAAACAUUAUCAUAUCCCGUGCAGUAUGUAGAAAUGUAACAUCUGCUCAUCUAAGCAGUCUGGCGUCCAACUCAUGCAAGCACUAUAUGCUAGCUCUGCUAAUGUAUGGGCUAAAACCAAUAAAUCACAAGAUUUUUUUAUGUUCAUGACAAAGACUCAAUUUCAUAAUAAAACAAACAAGACCAUCAGAGACAAGACCAAGACUGUUUUUAUACAAAAAAAUUAAUGUGUAAAACCACUGUGAGAAGGUUGCAGCUGUGGAAACCGCAUUGUUUAUUUUUUUUCAACAAUUUCCCCAGGUUAAUGACAAUAAAUUAUGUUUUUGACUUGUCAAGUGUCAGAAUGCAUUUCCUUCCUUUUUUUUUUUUUUUGGACAAAAUAAGC